AAGUCGUAACAAGGUUUCCGUAGGUGAACCUGCGGAAGGAUCAUUAAUGAAUAACUUUGGCGUGGUUGUAGCUGGCUCCUUGGAGCAUGUGCACACCCGUCAUCUUUAUCUUUCCACCUGUGCACCACUUGUAGAUCUGGAUAACUCUCGCCUUCUGGCGGAAACAGGGAUUGCUGCGUCGCAAGGCCAGCUCUCCUUGAAUUUCCAGGUCUACGUCUUUACAAACUCCAAUUGAAUGAUGAAGAAUGUAGUCAAUGGGCUCCAAGCCUAUAAAACACAAUACAACUUUCAGCAACGGAUCUCUUGGCUCUC
RNAcentral lists this unclassified non-coding RNA (312 nucleotides) under Ephemerocybe brevisetulosa. RNAcentral's name for it is "Coprinellus brevisetulosus partial internal transcribed spacer region". The stretch from base 1 to 46 matches the Rfam family "Eukaryotic small subunit ribosomal RNA", at positions 1786 to 1831 of the family's 1831-position model. The record is from RNAcentral. Lineage: Eukaryota; Fungi; Basidiomycota; Agaricomycetes; Agaricales; Psathyrellaceae.